This 451-nucleotide ribosomal RNA is filed under the name uncultured bacterium. RNAcentral describes it as "partial 16S ribosomal RNA". It matches the Rfam family "Bacterial small subunit ribosomal RNA", at positions 354 to 796 of the family's 1533-position model. The record is from RNAcentral.
GUGGGGAAUAUUGGACAAUGGAGGCAACUCUGAUCCAGCCAUGCCGCGUGUGUGAAGAAGGCCUUUUGGUUGUAAAGCACUUUAAGCGAGGAGGAGGCUUACCUGGUUAAUACCUGGGAUAAGUGGACGUUACUCGCAGAAUAAGCACCGGCUAACUCUGUGCCAGCAGCCGCGGUAAUACAGAGGGUGCAAGCGUUAAUCGGAUUUACUGAGCGUAAAGCGCGCGUAGGUGGCUAAUUAAGUCAAAUGUGAAAUCCACGAGCUUAACUUGGGAAUUGCAUUCGAUACUGGUUAGCUAGAGUAUGGGAGAGGAUGGUAGAAUUCCAGGUGUAGCGGUGAAAUGCGUAGAGAUCUGGAGGAAUACCGAUGGCGAAGGCAGCCAUCUGGCCUAAUACUGACACUGAGGUGCGAAAGCAUGGGGAGCAAACAGGAUUAGAUACCCCAGUAGUCC